AUGCCCCAGUUUAGUGGGUACCAUAGGAGGCUUUAUAUGUUAGAUGACCAUAGAGCUGCUAUCGAUCUCAAGUGGGCCCUGACUUGUUUUGAGCUAAUCUCUGGCAUGUCCAUCAAUUAUCAUAAGAGUGAAUUAGUCCCCAUUAACUUGGAGGAAGUAGAGAUCCAAGUUUUCCUAGAUAUUUUCAAUUGCAUCAAAGGGAAAUUCCCUAUCAAGUAUUUGGGGAUACCCUUGCACUUUGACAAGCUUAGGAGGGAAGAUUUACAACCCCUUGUUGAUGCUCUUCUGUCUAGGAUGGCUGGUUGGAGGGGUAAAUUAUUAUCCCUGUUAGGUAGAGUGACUUUGGUGAAAACCUGUCUAGCCAGCAUACCUAUAUAUAUGCUAUCCUUUUUUAAAUUCCCCAAUGGGCUAUUAAUUUGA
RNAcentral lists this ribosomal RNA (420 nucleotides) under Triticum aestivum (bread wheat). RNAcentral's name for it is "partial small subunit ribosomal RNA". Lineage: Eukaryota; Viridiplantae; Streptophyta; Magnoliopsida; Poales; Poaceae. The record is from RNAcentral.